RNAcentral lists this ribosomal RNA (320 nucleotides) under uncultured fungus. RNAcentral describes it as "SSU rRNA". It matches the Rfam family "Eukaryotic small subunit ribosomal RNA", at positions 1344 to 1680 of the family's 1831-position model. Lineage: Eukaryota; Fungi. The record is from RNAcentral.
UGACCUGCUAAAUAGACGGGUUGACAUUUUGUUGGCCCCUUAUGUCUUCUUAGAGGGACAAUCGACCGUCUAGGUGAUGGAGGCAAAAGGCAAUAACAGGUCUGUGAUGCCCUUAGAUGUUCCGGGCUGCACGCGCGCUACACUGACAGAGACAACGAGUGGUGCCCCUUGUCCGAAAUGACUGGGUAAACUUGUGAAACUUUGUCGUGCUGGGGAUGGAGCUUUGUAAUUUUUGCUCUUCAACGAGGAAUUCCUAGUAAGCGCAAGUCAUCAGCUUGCGUUGACUACGUCCCUGCCCUUUGUACACACCGCCCGUCGCU